CCUGCCCAAGAGAUCGGGAUAACACCUGGAAACAGAUGCUAAUACCGGAUAACAACAGAUGAUGCCUAUCAACUGUUUAAAAGAUGGUUCUGCUAUCACUCUUGGAUGGACCUGCGGUGCAUUAGCUAGUUGGUAGGGUAACGGCCUGCCAAGGCGAUGAUGCAUAGCCGAGUUGAGAGACUGAUCGGCCACAUUGGGACUGAGACACGGCCCAAACUCCUACGGGAGGCAGCAGUC
This 237-nucleotide ribosomal RNA is filed under the name uncultured Lactobacillus sp. RNAcentral describes it as "partial 16S ribosomal RNA". It matches the Rfam family "Bacterial small subunit ribosomal RNA", at positions 125 to 355 of the family's 1533-position model. The record is from RNAcentral. Lineage: Bacteria; Bacillati; Bacillota; Bacilli; Lactobacillales; Lactobacillaceae.